UACGUAGGGUGCGAGCGUUGUCCGGAAUUAUUGGGCGUAAAGAGCUCGUAGGCGGUUUGUCGCGUCGGCCGUGGAAUCCUGCUGCUUAACGGCAGGCGUGCGGUCGAUACGGGCAGACUUGAGUUCGGCAGGGGAGACUGGAAUUCCUGGUGUAGCGGUGAAAUGCGCAGAUAUCAGGAGGAACACCGGUGGCGAAGGCGGGUCUCUGGGCCGAUACUGACGCUGAGGAGCGAAAGCGUGGGGAGCGAACAGG
Molecule: ribosomal RNA, 253 nt
Filed under: uncultured Pseudonocardiaceae bacterium
Lineage: Bacteria; Bacillati; Actinomycetota; Actinomycetes; Pseudonocardiales; Pseudonocardiaceae
Description: partial 16S ribosomal RNA
Rfam family: Bacterial small subunit ribosomal RNA
Source: RNAcentral